UACAGAGGGUGCGAGCGUUAAUCGGAAUUACUGGGCGUAAAGCGUGCGUAGACGGUAGCGUAAGUCAGAUGUGAAAGCCCCGGGCUCAACCUGGGAACUGCAUUUGAGACUGCUCUGCUCGGGUGCGGAAGAGGGAAGCGGAAUUUCCGGUGUAACGGUGAAAUGCGUAGAUAUCAGGAGGAACACCGGUGGCGAAGGCGGGUCUCUGGGCCGUAACUGACGCUGAGGAGCGAAAGCGUGGGGAGCGAACAGG
This 253-nucleotide ribosomal RNA is filed under the name uncultured bacterium. RNAcentral describes it as "partial 16S ribosomal RNA". It matches the Rfam family "Bacterial small subunit ribosomal RNA", at positions 524 to 776 of the family's 1533-position model. The record is from RNAcentral.